UGUCAUUCAAUACACACUCUCUCUUGGUUUUCUUAUCCAGGGUGUCAGACACACACAUCGACACGCACACACAAAUAAUACACACAUAUUGUAUAGACAGUCCCACUCACAGAAGAAUGGGGUAGUCCCAGUGCACUAGGUAAAGCUGCUAGACGCAACACUUCCAUUAGUGUUUCUGUAGGAACGACUGUAUAGAUAUAUUUAUUUCAGGUCUACUUUAUACUGCGUAUGGUUAAAGUUAUUGUAAAUGGCAGAAGCAAAUUUUUAAAAUUUGGUUCAGUAAUUCAUUUGAAUUACUUUGAGUGUGCAAUGUUCAUGUAUGCAAAUUAAAACUGUGAAGAACACUUUAGCUUUUGUUUCAAUACUUUGGUAAUACUUGGAAGUAUAAAGCUUGGCAUCAGAGCUAAUAUUUAAUAUUUUCCUUUGAAUCUUGACUGUCACCCUCAAAAUACUUACAUUAAAGUCAUUGGGUCCAUGACAGUUAAAGGGUUUUAAGAUAAGGAAAUUUAAAUAUUUUACAGUUUUUCUCAGUUUGGGUACAUUUCUCAGAACAGAAUUUAAAUUCUUAAAACUACUUGUUCAAUCUUCAAAUUAUUGUGUCACUUCUGCACAUCAAUAAAGGAGUUUCUCAUUCUUUUGAGCAAGUUGCAAACGCUUUUGUAGAUCAUGCAACUUAUUAUGUGCACUUCUCUGCUUUUGCCCCCAUUUUAAUUUGCUUUAAUCAUGUUGAUCAAAAUGUGUUAAACGUGUCUCUGUUGAAUUGUCUCAACUUCCAAAACAGCACAAGUUCAUUGUGUAAGUCUUAACAUGCAUAAGUCUUGAAGUUGUCAUAAUGUCAAUCAUAUUUUAAUUUAUUUAUAUUAGAUAUUUUUCUAAAUUUGUCUUGAAUUGUUAAAUUGCUCCCAAGUGAGUCCUGAGUUUCUCUAACAGGUCAAUGUAUGAACCAUUAGCUCAACCAACGAUCAACCGAUUUUCAGAAACAGAUUGAAGGUGCAUCUUAUGAGUCAUCAGUUGAUGGUGAUAUACACACCAAAUAAGGGCUGUUCACCUUUUAAAUGAUCAACCUUUUGUUUUUGAAUUUUUGGGGAUUUUUUUCUGUUUGACUUUCUGCAUUGAGUUUAUCUUGUGUCAUCUAUCCUGAAUUACUGGUCAAAAAGUAAAAAAUUGUAAAGAGAAACAUGUUUCUCCCAAAAGGAAGGAUGAAGAUAGAAAAUUCCCUGAAACAACAGGUCUUCAUCUGAGGUUUUUUUGUUUGUGUUUUUUGUCUGGUUGCAGAGAGGAUUAAACCUGUCGACAACAAACAAAGGUUUAAGAACUUCUGAAUUUUCAGUCAGAAAUGAUCACACCGCCUGGUUGAAGUACCAGUCUCCAUGUGCAAGUCAACAAAGCAGAGAGGAAACACCUGAUUGACAAGGUAUGAGUCAAGCUCAACCUGUGACUGGGAAAACCAUAUCCAUGAUGCACACCAUCCUGAGCAAAGUCUGAACUCAAUGACUUGUUGCUCUCAACCUAGAGCGAGAAUCCUUUUAUCACCGGUUACCCCUUAUAUGGACACAUGCUGUUUUUUUUCAGAUCUUAGUAAUACCAUGAGGAAACUGGACAGGAAACAGAAUUGGUUCUUUUUUUAACAGAAUUUUUAAAUAGAAAUUGUUUCUUUAAGUGGAUUACUCGUAAUCUGUAUUUUUGUUUAAUUUGGACUUAUUUUCUUUAUAACUUUCCAUAUUGAAAUGCAGACAAAUUACACUUCUUUGUGAGUUGUACUGUAAUUUUUAUGGUAAAAUUCUGGUAACAACAGCUACCGGUAAUUUAUCAUAAAGUUUUUAUUUUCAAAUUUUUUACAAUAAAAUGUCAAUAUAUCAUACAGUCCUGCCGUGUUUUUCACUUACGUAGACUAAUCUUUAUGGUAUAUGUGUUUUUAUAGUAAGUUGCAUAGAAAAGUUUAAGUUCUGAACUGCUAAGUCACGGUUGCCAAGAUAUUAUGCCUCAUGCAGUAUGACCGUAUUUACUAUGG
This is a long non-coding RNA of Xiphophorus couchianus (Monterrey platyfish), 2011 nucleotides long. RefSeq lists it as uncharacterized. The transcript is spliced from 2 exons. Lineage: Eukaryota; Metazoa; Chordata; Actinopteri; Cyprinodontiformes; Poeciliidae. The record is from RefSeq and is a predicted model, not a curated record.